UACGAAGGGGGCUAGCGUUGUUCGGAUUCACUGGGCGUAAAGGGUGCGUAGGCGGUCAGAUAAGUCUGAUGUGAAAUCUUCGAGCUCAACUCGGAAACUGCAUCGGAAACUAUCUGGCUGGAGGAUUGGAGGGGAGACUGGAACUCUCGGUGUAGCAGUGAAAUGCGUAGAUAUCGAGAGGAACACCAGUGGCGAAGGCGAGUCUCUGGACAAUUCCUGACGCUGAGGCACGAAAGCUAGGGGAGCAAACAGG
Molecule: ribosomal RNA, 253 nt
Filed under: uncultured bacterium
Lineage: Bacteria
Description: partial 16S ribosomal RNA
Rfam family: Bacterial small subunit ribosomal RNA
Source: RNAcentral